Long non-coding RNA from Carassius carassius (crucian carp), 268 nucleotides. RefSeq lists it as uncharacterized. The record is from RefSeq and is a predicted model, not a curated record. The transcript is spliced from 3 exons. Lineage: Eukaryota; Metazoa; Chordata; Actinopteri; Cypriniformes; Cyprinidae.
UUUCUAAGCACUUCCCCAAGCUGCAGUCUUUACUGGACAUGCAUCCUUUUCUGUCAGUGAUGCAUGCCAAAGCACACUCUUGGAAAUGUGAGGUCAAGUAUAGUGGGGCCUGCCAGGAAGGAGCUGGGUCAAUUAUUGGUGACGAAGUGGAGCAGGUGAACAGCUUCCUAUCUAGAAUUGCUGUUACAAGCAAAUACAUGUCAAAAUCAGGCCGAGCAGACAUGAUUACAAUGCAAGCCAUGUUGUGGAAUAAGCGGAAGAUUAUCAA